AUUUGCUUAAUGCUCUAACCGUGGCAAGCUUGGCUGGAAGGCAGGCUACACAUAGCAGGGAAGAGGGUAGACUCCAUGAGGAGAUGGGGCAGGAUCCAGGGUGUGGUAGCCGACUUAGAGCACACUUCCCUUGAAAAUAUGGGACAAAUAUUUAAUAACGAACAUUGGUCGGAGCCACAAGUGAGUAAAGAGCUAGAUGUUUCCAGGCGGUCGCGGGUCUCAGCGUUUGGGUAAUGGCAGCCCUCUGCUUCCAGAGCGUCUGUCCAAUUCGCAGCACAACUUCACAGGGCAGAGGGAUCAAAGUCCGAGAGUUGACAAGCCAGUAAAACUUAAGAAAGGCACCCGCGUCUCAGCCAACUGGGCUGGGAUCCACCACUAGGAUUUAGUUCUUGCAAGAGAGUCAGACUCCAACUCCGGGACAGAAGCAGAGAUGCUCUCUAUAAAGCCGUGGAGGGGAAAAACAGGCUCAGCCCUUGGAAACAUGAGCCUGGCUUCAACUCGACUCUUGGUCGCCGCCGUAUACCUGACUUGGUGAAGAAGAAAGGAAAGCAAACAUCUCCCAGCAGAAUGAUCGAGCGCAAAGCGUUCAAAACUUGCAAUUCUGACAGACAGUCCUCGAGGGAAGGUGGGGUUCAUGGUUUUUGAGGGGUUUUUGCCCAUCGUGAUAUGGGAAGGACAGAAGAGAAGUUCAGGUCAGGGUGGUCAAAGCUGCUGAUACUGCCACAGACCAGUGUGCAGAGUGGUCAGGACCCUGAGCUGGGGGAAUGGUCAAAGGCACACUCCUAGAGACCAACUUGUGCUCGCUGAUCCCUGCCUCUUGAAAGUUCCACAGCCUCUCAGAAUAGUGCCCCCUGCUGGGAAGGAAGAAUUCAAGACGUGAACCUGGCGGGUGGGGCUUGGGGGGUGGAUUUCAGAUUGAAACUAGAACAGAAGGCCCAGAAAAGGGAGGUCGGUGAGAGUCUGUAUUCUUAAUUCAGGACGGCUUACAAAUAUGACUAGUUAAUUUAUAAGAUGUAAACUAAUACUUAAAAAAAAAAGAAUUUAGCAAACCAGACAGGGAAUUUCAGGACGGCAGUGACCUUUGUGCUUGCUGAGGCAUCGUAGGCGACAGUCUGCUGGAGUCCGGGAAGCCAUCUGCAGCUAGAGGGACCCUGCAGCUAGGGGGACAAUGAGCUGUCUGUCUCCUCCUCUACCUCCAGCUCUCCCUUGAGGGUUUGCGUUGGCAGAAUCUAAGCAGGAAUUUCUGGGAAAUUUAGUUUCCAGAUGUUACAGCCCCUGUGAGUCAGGACACAGAAGGGGAAAGAGCUACCAUGGCCACGGGGCCCAAGUGAAAGACAUCAAUUAUUUUAGGGUGAUGUCAGAGAAAGUGGGUCGCAGUGGAAAUGGAGCUCGGCGAGGCCGAGUCUGGGUGGAAGGACUGUGGGGAAGCAACACCCCUGCAGACAGGAACUGUGAGACACGCUAGGCAGAGUGACAAGGAGGUUGAAAUGCCACAACCUUCGAGAGUGACAGAUGCUCUUUGUUUUAAAGAGCUCAGUAGCGUGUAUAUAGAAAAUAAAGGCACCGUGGAUGGGACAAGGGGACUGUAAGAACCUGUCCCCCACUCUUGCUGAUAGUUUGAAAGCAUUCUGUGAAAUAAAUAUUCUUCUUCCAGACUAGGCAAAAAUGAAAACGGUUAGCAUUUGGACCUCGGUGUUGGAACUGGAGGUUAGAAGGUAGAAAUGUGGGAGGGAGUUAGACCAGAAGUUGACGGAACUUGGCAAGGUGAGUAGCAGGAGGAAGGCAGGAGCAACCAGGACUCCACAGUCUGUGGGGUGCGUAGCAUUGUGAACGGGCACCAUGAAUUGAGACAUGGCCAUAAAAAAAGUCGGAGCAGUUCCCUUUGGGAUGUGUUCUGUGUUAGGAUGUGAAACUACAGACAUCAAUAAUCAAGACAGAGGUGGUGGUGUGUCGUGUCCCCCCCACCCGCUUCCUGCUGAACAUACAUGACACCUUUGCAUACAAAGGGAAGUAUAACUCUCUACGUGUGAGUUUGGCCACAGUCACAGAAAAGAACUGAUUGAUAUCUAUCAAAGAUAUUUCCCCAUCUUAUUCCCCGAUGGAGCUUGAUGCUUGAAAUCCAACACGUGGUACUUCAAACUCCUGGCUUUAAGUUAAGGCACCUUAAAGGUUUGUGCUGCCCAUCUACCUGUGGUGUGGCGUGCUGAGACUUGCUUUGUCACACGUACCCUGAAAACAAUCAGUGCAUAUACACACACUAGUGCUGCUAUAUGGCCAGAGCUCGCAGCAUGGCCUAUUACAUGAUUUUUCCAGAAAGAUGAUAACAGGCAUCACACCAGACAGGGCAUCAGUGUCAGGUCACAGAAAUUACUCUACUAAAUUCCAGCUUGAGGAACCAAGGAAUCUUUUGGGGUUAUAUACAGCAACGUAGCAAGGGGCUCCUUGAAAGAACCUGAGUGGCUUAAAAGCAGCUGUACCCCCCAAAAUGACCCACCAGAGCUUCGUCCCCGGGACUCCCCACCUAUCUCAAAGGUAACCCCUUAGAGAGUCUCGUCUUGAGCAACAAUUAAUUAUUGCUUAUAUAACCCAGAGUGGGGCCUGUCCUGUUAACUUCUGCUGUCAACCUGACAGCCCAGAGUCAUCUCAGAGAGGCUCCAUUGGGGAAUCAGAUCGAUCAAAUUGUCCUGUGGCCAUGUCUAUGAGGAAGUCUUUUAGUUGUGGAUUAUUGUCAGAGGGCACAGUCCCCUGUGGGUGGUGCCAUUCCUUAGCAGAUGGUUCUGGGCUAUCUAACAAAGCUGGCUGAGCAUGAGGGAGAGAGAGAGAGUAAACCAGCAUGCAGUGUUCCUCCAUGCAACUCUGCUCCAGAUUCCUGCCUCUCGAGAGGUCCUGCACCGGCUUCCCUCCGAGAUGAACUUCUACCUGGGAGUGUCUAUUGGAACAAACACUUCCCUCCCCAAGUUGUUUUUGGUCAUGGUGUUUAACAGAAUGACAUAAAGGAAGCUAGAGGAAGGCAUAUUCCUACUAAGUCUUGUAAGCUUCCUGGGCCUGCUAAAUUUUAUGGGUUUGUGAGUUUUGCUAGCUCCUUGUGUCUUAUGAGCUCCUGUCCUCUCUUAACUCUCCAGGAGGACAUGUUUCAGUUCGGGGGCAAUAGCUACACAGUAGUGCCCAUGAUGAGCCAGAGCUAGAAGAAUCACUGGCCCCUACAUAAAGCCCUGAUUGUCAGAGAGACAGGAGGUCUUCAUGAGUCUGGGGAAACUUGCUGUGACUUACUUUGUCCUCUGUCUUCAUAGGCUCCCUGCCUGCUCUAUCUAUUUUUUCUUCUAUUUCUUUAACAACUUGAUUGUUGAAACCCCAGGAAAUUCUAAGCCCAUUUCUCCCAUCAAAAUGAAAGGAACUUAUUGAUGAAAUCAUGAGUCCAUUAAGAUUGAGUGGUACAUCUCCAUUAGGGCCACGAUUUGCAUCAUAAAACAGAUUAACAUGAAAGGUGGAAGCACUCUUCUUGGAGAGGAAAUGCACAAAAGAAUCUUUUAGGGCCUUCCGAAUUAAAGCAGAAUAAACACUCCACCAGGCACAGAGAGAAGGCAAGGGACAGGGGGGAAGGUUUCGACAGAGCCAAGCAAGACUGAAGACCUGCAGCCACAUAAGUGGUGUGACUCAUAGCUUAGUUGUGGGUAGACAGCAGAAGCCAGGGAACAUUCGGAGCUGAAAGAAACACUCGUAUUAAACAUUCUGCUGGAGCAAGGGUUCCCACUGCAGUGUGCUUACAGAGCCCUGCUCUGAAGUAUGCCUGGGCCGGCCGUUCUCGCUACUUUAAUGGAGUUGCUGAGAACCACCCUCUUGCCCGGCUAAGAGCCUGUGGUUCUGAGUGGAUGAGAGUGCUGUUCUCCUCAACCUUCCUCAGAAUGUUGAGAGGACAGUUCUGUGACAAGAGCUUUGCCAUGUGGCCUCCCCAGGAAUCUAGAUUGUUCCGGAUGAUCAAAGGAUAAUGAAAUAAACCCUACAUUAAUAGAGCACAGGGUUCUGGGAGUGUGUUGGGGGGCGGGGAUGACGUCUUCUCUUGCCUAUCAAGCUGGUGCUGUUUGUGUGUGUAUCACUUGCUUAGCAGCAUCAAGACCUUUAGCUAAAAGGAGAGGCUGGCUUAAAGGAUUGGAGCACCCGGGGGAUUCGCUGUUUGAUGGAAACAGGUCAGAGAAAGGAGCAAGAGAAUGAUCGGCCGUCUUACUCUUCUGGUGGGGUCUCUUUGCUCAUGUGUGAGAGGCAGUUCAUGCCAGCUCACAGACAUCAAGCAGAAUUUCUUCCUAAUUCCCCCACUCAGUGACUUCAUAGGAGGUUGGCACUGGCUAGGAUAGGAAUGUUUACAUUGCCAGAAUUGGCAGAUGUCACAAACCAGGGUGUUUUUUUCUCCCCUACUGUGGUUGCCUUGUUUUCUCCCCUAGAAAAUUUAUCGUUAAAUAUUUAUCAGCAUUCUCCUGGAAUUUGAUUGAAAGAUAAUUUGGCCAUCAAAGCAGCCACACGGCCUUCUGAAACUCUGGCUGAAAGCUUUCUGAGCACAGCAAGGGUCAAACAAGUGACCGGGCGGAGCUCGGCGGAAUUUGGAAAAAGGGAAAGGAUUCUUGGAAUACACGCCUGUGUGACAUACUCACCCAUGAACACUCACCUGAGGGUCAGUGCUCACAGGGUGACAUGGUAGGCACCUCUCGAAAGUUGUAAAGGGACCUUUAGGAAUGUGGCCACGAGAUGGACACUACUUAGACAUGAUGUGGGCCUCUUUCUCAUUGGACCAGGGACUUCAGAUAAAGGAUAAGACCCAGGAGGCUGGGCCUCAGAAGGACCAAUUUACAGGGCAUUUUGAUAGUGAACCAAUUAACCUCUUCUACCUAUAGGGCUCAGACAAAAGAUAGUUGGGCUCAGGAUGCAUUCUGGGAGCACUGCCGCGUGUGGGUGGUAAUGAUGUGUCAGAAGUUCUUUUUCAGAUGGGCUAAGUAGACUCCAGUCCUAUAUGGAAUGUCCGAGGCUGUGUCAGAGAAACACAAAGGUCUCUUCUGCCUCCCUUCCUGGGUUCUAGGAUUCUUCUGAAAAGAACCCUAAUGCUAACUAGAAGGUAGAAGAGUGGAAGCCCAGACACAGAUUAAGGAGUACACAUAGGUUCGGCCACAAUGGAGAUCAGGGAGGGAGGAUCUUCAACAAACUAAGAAAGAACCAGUGUAUGGCCCACUACAGCGUGUCCAGGUUAUUUACCUGAGGGACCGUAAGCCAACCUAUCACCCUGUGAACACUGCUGUGAGUUCACAAUUAUGGCUGAGUUAUGUACGGAAGCAAGAGAAGCGUCCGUCAACAAAUGACAGGGUUAAAUGGAGUGUGUGUGUAUAACGAAACUUUAGUCAGCUCUAAGGAAGAGCAGAAUCAUGCUGUUUGUUGAAGAACGGGUGUGACAGAAACUAACUAUAUGAAAUAAGUCAGCAAGAUAAGUGUCACACAUUUUUAGUCCUUUUGCACAUCCUUGGGUACACACACACACACAACACACCCUCACACACACUAAGGAAAAAAAAACUGGCUUCGAAGGACAAAAGGAGGCUACGAAAGGAAACAUAUUUGUUCGACUUUGAGGAAGAAGCCGAUUUGUCUGAAGGAGUCUGGGGACAGCCCUGCCUUUGUCUGAUAAGCCCUCUCUGCAAGUCCCUGUAAGCCAUAUGUGUUUAAGAUGUAGAGGAUCAGCUCAGGGGAUCAGCGCACAGCCCUGGAAGCGUUAGCAUGCGCUUCCUACUUUAAGCAGCUGUCUGGCAAAAUGGUCUGUCACUGUCAUAGGGCAGCCGAGCAUGAGAGUGCUUUGACAGUGCGAGUCUGUCUCAAUCCUUCCACCCAAACUCAAAGGAACGUCUUCCCAAAGGCCGAGGGCAGCCAUUCUUUGCAGCGGGAGUAAGCUCGGCUGAUGGCUUAAUCUGGAAGCCAAUUGGCUUUCAAGGAGACAUAACUCACUCCAUAUUUAGAGAAACGUUUGGAGUCUAUUGGGACUGCUUCGGGAGGGGAUUUGAAAACUUUGAAAAGGAACCUGAUAUGAACACUGACCGACUGGAAGACCUUCUGUCUUUCACAAGUGGGCACGUACCUGGCAGCCCUUGCUGGCUUGGCUUCAACUCCUAGAUCCCGGAUCAUGGAAGCCCUGGAGGGUCUGGCAGUUGGUUCCGGAGUCAACAAGAAGCAGGCAGCCACCACCAACCUAGAAGUAUUAUCAUGGUUUAACAGCAAUCCAAGCAAUGUCUCUGCUCCUGAAAUGGAACCUGGGCCUUGUUGGACGACGUGGGACAAAGGAGAGAGGCAGGUCCACUGUGGGGUCUGUCUGUGUUUAUAUGGUUGGCAGAGCGCGCUUUGAUGUCACCCUGAUGACGUCUGUCAUCUUCCCCACACCUGCUAUGGCAUGGCUGCCUUCAGUCACAAGCCUGAUUCACAGCACACUCUAUGUUUAGCAGCGCUCUGAGAAGGAUUCCAGUCUGCCUUCAGCCCUAAAUAGCUACAAAUAUCAGAGUAGCAGCGGCAGCCCUUCAAAGGCCUUUUUGGGAAGUGUCAUGCCAGAGAUGGGGUGACACAGAGGAGCCCCAGAAAGAAGCAAGAUGUCACCUGGAAACUGGAGGGAAAAAGAAGAAAUGAACCAGCGUCGACUGCUAAGAAGGUGAAGAAAUGAACCAGCGUCGACUGCUAAGAAGGUGAAGAAAUGAACCAGCGUCGACUGCUAAGAAGACGAUGUUCUGCGCUUUUCAACCAAGUAAGAAUAGAUCUCUGGAGAUGAGAAGAUGACCACCACGUGUCUUUUCCCAGUCUUUGGAUGGUACCUUUCACAUCCUGGAAGGGAGAAAGCUGAGUCACCACCACAGAGUCUGAACCUGAUUAUCAUAUUCAGUAGCCACUGCCAAGCAUACAUUAGCACCUCUCCCAGAACUACUCUCUGUCUGCACAGGGCACCUGGACACUCUGCUCAUGAGAAUGCAAUACCCAACAUGAGUCAAGAAAGCCCAAAGACGUCCACCCUGAUCUGGUGAUAGAUGACACCUGACCUCCUUAGCCAAUAUGCAGACUGAGACUGUAUCUGGCAGAGUUUCUGGCUGCAGAACCCUUGACCGUCAGAAGUGAAUGAAAGUUUGGUAAGCUGUGCUGGAGCACUGCCAGUGUGCGGUGCUGUGAGCCGCCCUCACAGGAUUUCAGGGAAGAACUGUGGGGAGGAGGCACUGAAUGCCUUAGAUGCAGCGGGGAGAAAACCCUUCCUCCUACACCCUUAAAACAGAGCGAAAGGAAACAAAAUAAUAAAACUAAUAACAAAAUAACAAAAUAAUACCCCCCCACAAGCUACACCCUUACUUUUCUGGUCUCACCUGCUGCUUUCCUUAGGAGAUAGUUUCAAUGGAAAAGAUUCUAAAGUUCAUGUGUUCGAAAGCUUCUUGACCUUGCAGUUGGCGAUGAUCUUUGGGGGGUUAUGGAACUGUGGCUGGGGUCACUGGGAGCCAGGUCUUUGGGGUCACAGCUCUGCCCUAUUUUUGGACCCAGUCUCUCUGUGUGUCAUCUGUCAAGAAGUGAGCAAGCUCUCCUACACUCCUUCUGCUCUGGUUCACCUCCACCAAUACCCGUACUCUCAACCCAGGGGUGAAAAUUCCUUUCUCCUUCAGUGUGCUUCUUCCUGGGCAUUUGGUAGCAGCAAUUUCAAAAGCUAAGCUACCUUACUAGUAUGAGCUUCAGUGGUUUACACCAGGUAGGUCGAGGGAAAGGUAAAACUUGGGAUUUGCUCAAAACAUGGCCACACACACACACACACCUGAUGCUCGACACACACAGCCAGGCACACCUGAUGCCAGAAAGGGUGAGGUGGGGAUGUCAGAAAGUCCUGGGAGGAACCCAGGCUGUGUUCUAGGCACAUAUCUAUAGCUCAUAGUUUGUGUGUUCUUGGAAGACACAGAAGUAUUAUAAACUCGUAAAUAGAAUUGCAUAAGACUGUACUCAUGACAUAAAUGAUUCCUCACACGAGCGAACCAAGAAAGCCCAAAGAUGUCUACCCUGAACUGCAGAUAAAACAUCAUCAGACCUCCUUAGUUAGACGCCGCUGACACACAUUCGGAGAUCUUAUCCGGCAGAGUUUCCAGGCGUACGGAAGGUGGAUUGAGUUCAGGAUGAAUGAACUAUUGAACAGUGGAGCUCAGGGAGUGGGCGAUGGAUUAGUGGACAAAAAUAGCCCUGGACACCUGUGUAAAUCCUUGGUGAUCUGAUCUACGCCAUAAAAACCAGACAGUGGGCAUCUGUAACUCAUAAUAAGUCCUUUCUAACAUCACUGAGGUUAUCUUAAAGAGCCUCUUGGUGCUCCCCUCCCCCAUAGCUUUAGAGUGGGGCCAGGCUGCUAACUGCGCCAACGCUGCAUUUGGAGGGCUGUGACUUGCAGCCUGACCUCCUGGAACUGAGUGGAGCAGCAAUCAACAAUGACUUUGUAAGCUGAUCCCUGCUACAGACCGUACAAAAUCCUCAACGGGGAGAGCUGCUUACCUACAGAGGUCACAGGAGCUCUGUGCUCACCACCCCUAAUGCCCGUGUUCCUUGAAGUUGGCUGUUCCUGAGUUGUAUCUUUUGAAGUGAACUGACAUUGAUUCCUUUGGAAACUUGGAUGGCAUCGUUUAAUCUGUGGAGUGGGAAAAAGGAGACGAAGGAAGGAAGAGGAGAGGAGACCAUAAACCUCGCUGAGAGCUCACUGGAUCCGGGAAGUUGCUAAUAAAAACCCAGGCGGGGAUGGCACCUGCAGACAACUCACUCUACCUAGCCGUCAGAGCUGGCCUGGAAGAACAAAGGCUUUCUGGGGAGCUGCAAAUCACACAUUGAUCUUGCCCGAGAGUAUCUUUCCUUAGCGAUGAGAAGCUGGAAUAAAACGAAGUGGAAUGAAAAGCGGCAAGCAGAGGCCCUGAAGACUCCCACAGAAAUCCUGGUUCUGCAGAUUUACCUGUGCCGUGGGACCCACCUGUGUGGGACGAGGCACUUCUUGUUGAGCGUUCUGCUGCUCCAGAGUGCUUCAGCAUUACGUGUGGAAAGCAGAGACUUGAGGAAAAAUCAGUCAAACGAGAGCAUUGCAUAACUCGGACCACUGGAAAAUCCAUUCCCCCUUUAGGCAUCCCAAUGAGGGCAGUAACAACUAAGCAUGUUCCGGCUGUCGUGCUUACUCUAAUGCUGGCACUGGGGAGGAGAGGAGGCAAGUGCAUCCUAGGAGUUUGCUAGCAAGUGAGCCAGCUUCACCCCCUCACGCCACUCCCGGUUGCUAGAAUAGGAGGGCCUCUCCCAGAAUACUCCACACAACAGAUGGUUGAUCUACACCAGGAAACACCCAAAGAAGAAGACCAAGGCCACCACAGGCGGCAACUUGCCUACUCACCAGGGUCCAAGGAAGACCUCCAUCCCAUGGUGGGUAGAGUCCACAUGUGGGUCUCUGGGCUCUCUUCUCUGGUCUUCCUGUCCUCGUUGCUUUACUAAGGGAGACCUGUGAGCAACAGUGUUUUAACGCACGUUAUAGACGACACCGGAGUGUGGCUCUCACCAAAGCGUGUGCCUGACGUGAAGUGUGCCAGACUCCACGAGAAGUGUGUCUGGGCCAACUGACAGCAGUGGCUCUGGCUUUGACACGGCUCUCAGCACUCCCAUUCUGUUCCGAGAGGCCAGGAAGCAGAUGGAGAGAGAAUAAGCAAUGCAGUGGGAUGUCUACAUCUUGGCAGUCAGUUCACGGCGAGCUAUGUUUCUCAAGCUAUUAAGAUACAUGAUGCUACCUGUACAUUUAAUCUCUAAUCAAGUAUGUAAUUUUUUUAUUGCCUAGGGUAUGUCUAUGCAGUUGAAAGCAAAAACCUGUGUUCUAUCUUUAAAGAAAAAAUAAAACAACAACAAUAACAACCACAACACCCCUGUAAAAUCAAGAGAGAGGGAGCAAGAAGUUGGGUGGGUGGUGAGGUGGGGGAGAAUCGGGGAACAAUGGAGGAGGAAAACAAUAUAAUCAAAACAUACUGUAUGGAAAUUAAAUGUCCACCCUGCUCCUUGUGAAGUUUGCUUCCUUCACAGUGAUGUGAAGGGAACAGUGAUAUGCUUCCCCAAGGGGCACGAAGGAGAGGUGCUCUGAGAAAGUGACAUAAACAGGGAAGAUUUUUCUUCUUUGUAGAGAAGGGCGUUAGAGUACAGCAUUGUGAGAUUGCUCAGUGUGUGCACAGAGUACAGCAUUGUGAGGUUACUCAGUGUGUGCACAGAGUACUGCAUCAUCAGAUUACUCAGUGUGUGCACAGAGUACUGCAUUGUGAGAUUACUCAGUGUGUGCACAGAGUACUGCAUUGUGAGAUUACUCAGUGUGUGCACAGAGUACAGCAUUGUGAGAUUACUCAGUGUGUGCACAGAGUACAGCAUUGUGAGAUUACUCAGUGUGAGCACAGAGUACUGCAUUGUGAGAUUACUCAGUGUGAGCACAGAGUACUGCAUCAUCAGAUUACUCAGUGUGAGCACAGAGUACUGCAUCAUCAGAUUACUCAGUGUGUGCACAGAGUACUGCAUUGUGAGAUUACUCAGUGUGUGCACAGAGUACUGCAUUGUGAGAUUACUCAGUGUGUGCACAGAGUACUGCAUCAUCAGAUUACUCAGUGUGUGCACAGAGUACUGCAUCAUCAGAUUACUCAGUGUGAGCACAGAGUACUGCACUGUGAGAUUACUCAGUGUGUGCACAGAGUACUGCAUUGUGAGAUUACUCAGUGUGAGCACAGAGUACUGCAUUGUGAGAUUACUCAGUGUGUGCACAGAGUACAGCAUUGUGAGAUUGCUCAGUGUGUGCACAGAGUACUGCACUGUCAGAUUGUUCAGUGUGUGUCAAACCAGCUUUAGCAGCACUGAGAGAGAACUGACUUCAUUAACACUGGAGAUCUUGGAGACAGAUCAAGUACUCCUAUGCAGGGCAACACAAGGCACUGCAUUGAAGGAAGUCUUCCAAGAGCAGAGAAAUUCUCUCCUGGACACUACUUCCACAGAAUUUUCAGAUAGUUCCAUUUAACUUCCAAGUUCGUUGAUCAACUGUCAUGGGGAGAAGGGAUAGACGUCACGGAGCAUUGUGUCAUUAACAUUCGUUGCUGAAGAAGACUGGGAAGCAAUUCUAAAUUUGCAGCAGCCACGAGGUCCAUGGGCAGAGGUGGACAGAAGUGAGGACUGUCCAAAUGGUGGACUGCUUUGAGCAAGUGAAUGAGUCGUUGCAACUCCACAACUGGGUACGAUAAAAACGCUUCCAUAAACAAUGUAAAAUCAACUGGGUAAGGCGUAAUCCCAUUUAUUUACAGUUCAAAAAUAAACAAAGCGAGUCGCUGACAUCUGAAGUGAGAAGAGAUACCCGCCAUGGGCGAGCUUAGUGAAGAUUCAGCUUCAGGCGUUAGGGAUGGUUUCGUCCCUGAUGGGUUGUUGGUUACGAGCACAUGUUUGUUCUCCACGAGCAUACAUUUUAUUUCUGAGUCGUGUAUAUUUUUUUCUUCAUCCUGAAUCAGCAAAACAGUUACAAGCAAGCAAUGUCAACAUAGUUUCUUUUGCAUGUAUUAAAGUUUGGACCGUUCAGUCAAUCGUUUAAAGGACUAGGUAUGUGGGAGGAAGUGGCCCACAAAGGCUGAAGAGUUAAGUAUUUAAAGACUCAGAAUUACUUGAGAUAGUGAAAAAACGUUAGAGAGAAAAAUUUGAGCUUGGCUUCGUAGUCUAAAUUUCUUUGUCAGUAAAAACCUUCAUUUGUGGUAAAAUUUGGGCAGGGGAGUAAUGGUAUUUGAUAAGGGGUGGGGAAGAAUGUGAACUCAAAAUUAUAACCCAUUUUCUUUCUUUUUAACAUUUUCAGGUCAACACCAAACGUUUAGGUUCUGUGUGAUCAAAAUAGAAGGUCUUCACGUAUAUGGACCUGUCCUCCGCUAAGAUGUAAUUAUCAGUUGAUCAGGUUGAAAGACGGCUGAGUAGAUCCGGCACUAACAACAGAAUCAUCACACCAUGGAGAAACAAAUGUUCUAACAAUGUUCAUAACUCUACACGAUCCUUUCCUUUUUCACCACAAUCUAUGCUUCCCCAUCUGGCAGACAAGUAUGGAUCCCUUUCAACAUGGUAGGUAACAUUCCAGAUUGGAUAAUAAAAGUCUCUGUGGGAGAA
This 12159-nucleotide small RNA is filed under the name Rattus norvegicus (Norway rat). RNAcentral describes it as "uncharacterized LOC102547244". The record is from RNAcentral. Lineage: Eukaryota; Metazoa; Chordata; Mammalia; Rodentia; Muridae.